CCUACGGGAGGCAGCAGUAGGGAAUAUUGGGCAAUGGAGGCAACUCUGACCCAGCCAUGCCGCGUGCAGGAAGAAGGCGUUAUGCGUUGUAAACUGCUUUUAUAUAGGAAGAAAUAGACCUUGCGAGGUAAGUUGACGGUACUAUAUGAAUAAGCACCGGCUAACUCCGUGCCAGCAGCCGCGGUAAUACGGAGGGUGCAAGCGUUGUCCGGAUUUAUUGGGUUUAAAGGGUGCGUAGGCGGUUUAUUAAGUCAGUGGUGAAAGACGGUCGCUCAACGAUUGCAGUGCCAUUGAUACUGGUAGACUUGAGUGGGAUUGAGGUAGCUGGAAUGGAUAGUGUAGCGGUGAAAUGCAUAGAUAUUAUCCAGAACACCAAUUGCGUAGGCAAGUUACUAAGUACUCAACUGACGCUGAGGCACGAAAGUGUGGGUAUCAAACAGGAUUAGAUACCCUGGUAGUCCACACUGUAAACGAUGAUAACUAACUGUUGGCUUUCGGGUCAGUGGUACAGAGAAAUCGUUAAGUUAUCCACCUGGGGAGUACGCCGGCAACGGUGAAACUCAAUGAAUUGACGG
Molecule: ribosomal RNA, 575 nt
Filed under: uncultured bacterium
Lineage: Bacteria
Description: bacterial SSU rRNA
Rfam family: Bacterial small subunit ribosomal RNA
Source: RNAcentral